This 646-nucleotide ribosomal RNA is filed under the name Paenibacillus taichungensis. RNAcentral describes it as "bacterial SSU rRNA". It matches the Rfam family "Bacterial small subunit ribosomal RNA", at positions 63 to 689 of the family's 1533-position model. The record is from RNAcentral. Lineage: Bacteria; Bacillati; Bacillota; Bacilli; Caryophanales; Paenibacillaceae.
CGAGCGGACUUGAUGAGAAGCUUGCUUCUCUGAUAGUUAGCGGCGGACGGGUGAGUAACACGUAGGCAACCUGCCCUCAAGCUUGGGACAACUACCGGAAACGGUAGCUAAUACCGAAUAGUUGUUUUCUUCGCCUGAAGAGAACUGGAAAGACGGAGCAAUCUGUCACUUGGGGAUGGGCCUGCGGCGCAUUAGCUAGUUGGUGGGGUAACGGCUCACCAAGGCGACGAUGCGUAGCCGACCUGAGAGGGUGAUCGGCCACACUGGGACUGAGACACGGCCCAGACUCCUACGGGAGGCAGCAGUAGGGAAUCUUCCGCAAUGGGCGAAAGCCUGACGGAGCAAUGCCGCGUGAGUGAUGAAGGUUUUCGGAUCGUAAAGCUCUGUUGCCAGGGAAGAACGCUUGGGAGAGUAACUGCUCUCAAGGUGACGGUACCUGAGAAGAAAGCCCCGGCUAACUACGUGCCAGCAGCCGCGGUAAUACGUAGGGGGCAAGCGUUGUCCGGAAUUAUUGGGCGUAAAGCGCGCGCAGGCGGUCAUUUAAGUCUGGUGUUUAAUCCCGGGGCUCAACCCCGGAUCGCACUGGAAACUGGGUGACUUGAGUGCAGAAGAGGAGAGUGGAAUUCCACGUGUAGCGGUGAAAUGC